Molecule: ribosomal RNA, 1425 nt
Filed under: uncultured organism
Description: SSU rRNA
Rfam family: Bacterial small subunit ribosomal RNA
Source: RNAcentral
CUACAGGCUUAACACAUGCAAGUCGAGGGUCAGCAUUUCAGUUUGCUUGCAAACUGGAGAUGGCGACCGGCGCACGGGUGAGUAACACGUAUCCAACCUGCCGAUAACUCGGGGAUAGCCUUUCGAAAGAAAGAUUAAUACCCGAUGGUAUAAUCAGACCGCAUGGUCUUGUUAUUAAAGAAUUUCGGUUAUCGAUGGGGAUGCGUUCCAUUAGGCAGUUGGUGAGGUAACGGCUCACCAAACCUUCGAUGGAUAGGGGUUCUGAGAGGAAGGUCCCCCACAUUGGAACUGAGACACGGUCCAAACUCCUACGGGAGGCAGCAGUGAGGAAUAUUGGUCAAUGGGCGCAGGCCUGAACCAGCCAAGUAGCGUGAAGGAUGACUGCCCUAUGGGUUGUAAACUUCUUUUAUAUGGGAAUAAAGUUUUCCACGUGUGGAAUUUUGUAUGUACCAUAUGAAUAAGGAUCGGCUAACUCCGUGCCAGCAGCCGCGGUAAUACGGAGGAUCCGAGCGUUAUCCGGAUUUAUUGGGUUUAAAGGGAGCGUAGGUGGACAGUUAAGUCAGUUGUGAAAGUUUGCGGCUCAACCGUAAAAUUGCAGUUGAUACUGGCUGUCUUGAGUACAGUAGAGGUGGGCGGAAUUCGUGGUGUAGCGGUGAAAUGCUUAGAUAUCACGAAGAACUCCGAUUGCGAAGGCAGCUCACUGGACUGCAACUGACACUGAUGCUCGAAAGUGUGGGUAUCAAACAGGAUUAGAUACCCUGGUAGUCCACACAGUAAACGAUGAAUACUCGCUGUUUGCGAUAUACAGUAAGCGGCCAAGCGAAAGCAUUAAGUAUUCCACCUGGGGAGUACGCCGGCAACGGUGAAACUCAAAGGAAUUGACGGGGGCCCGCACAAGCGGAGGAACAUGUGGUUUAAUUCGAUGAUACGCGAGGAACCUUACCCGGGCUUAAAUUGCAUUUGAAUAUAUUGGAAACAGUAUAGUCGUAAGACAAAUGUGAAGGUGCUGCAUGGUUGUCGUCAGCUCGUGCCGUGAGGUGUCGGCUUAAGUGCCAUAACGAGCGCAACCCUUAUCUUUAGUUACUAACAGGUCAUGCUGAGGACUCUAGAGAGACUGCCGUCGUAAGAUGUGAGGAAGGUGGGGAUGACGUCAAAUCAGCACGGCCCUUACGUCCGGGGCUACACACGUGUUACAAUGGGGGGUACAGAAGGCAGCUACCUGGUGACAGGAUGCUAAUCCCAAAAGCCUCUCUCAGUUCGGAUCGAAGUCUGCAACCCGACUUCGUGAAGCUGGAUUCGCUAGUAAUCGCGCAUCAGCCAUGGCGCGGUGAAUACGUUCCCGGGCCUUGUACACACCGCCCGUCAAGCCAUGAAAGCCGGGGGUACAUGAAGUACGUAACCGCAAGGAGCGUCCUAGGGUAAAAC